Non-coding RNA from Ictidomys tridecemlineatus (thirteen-lined ground squirrel), 1581 nucleotides. NCBI's taxonomy places the organism in Eukaryota, Metazoa, Chordata, Mammalia, Rodentia, Sciuridae. The record is from RefSeq and is a predicted model, not a curated record.
UGUUGCCUCAUAUGGGGAAAGAAGCUUUUCAGAUGUGAUUAAGCUAAGGACCUUGAGAUGGGGAGAUUAUUCUGGAUUAUCCUCAUGGAGGUCUAAAAAAUUACUCAUGUGCUUUAACAGAAGAAGAGAGGGAGGUUUUACACCCAGAGAGGAAAGGAGAAUUUGAAGAUGGAGACAGAGCUUGGAGUAAUGGUCUCCAGUCCAACAGAUGCUGGCAGCCACCAGACGCUGUUACAAAAUAAGAGUACUGACUGAAUUCCUUACUCCGUUGGCCCUGAUUCCUUACUCCUUUGACCCAUCUGUCUGGCACAAGAAGUUCAACACGUCCUGCAAUUGUAUGUAAUUCAAUGGGGCUCUUGCAGAAUCACAUGGCAAGAGUUUUCUCUAUUUGGGACUAGAACCUCCAAGAGUGAAGAGCUAAGAUUUGCUGAGACAAGAAGCACCAAAUCCUUCAAUAAAUCAGUGGGACAGCUCCUAUUUAUAGGCCCUUGAUUCCUGGAUUCUUCUUGUCCAGAACAGAGCACUAUAUACAGAUUGCUGAAUUGACAUAAAUACAUUGUGUCCUGAAAGAUGGCACUCCAUUUUUUUAGAGAGUCUCCUCCAAGCUAACACUUCAGUUUCACCUUUAUAAUGCCAUUGCAAAAUGUUGCCUCUGUGUGAUGUGAUUUGUGAUACAACCAGCAGAUCGCAUGGUCAUGGGCCCACUCCUGUACCUCCAUCACUGGAAAGUGAUGGGCAAAUGCAUUGAAAUCAGUAAAGUGCGCCAAGAAGAUCUGCCCUCACCAAUGUCUGUUCAUCAUCCUCUCUGCUGAGGGCCUGAGAAAGGGUAAAACAUAUGACAGAAUGGAACAUAUUCUCAGAAGAAGAAAAAUUAAGAAGAGUAAGGGAAGGAGAAGGAGAGUCAAGAAAUGAGCAUCAGCAGCAAUUUUUGGGGGGAAAGAAUUUGAAGAAUUUUUAACUAUUUAGGAGAAGAUAAGACAAACUAUCUGUGAAAACAAUACGCAGAGUUGUGUGACCAUCAUCAUAUUCUAAGUUUAAAACAUUUCAUCACUCCAAAAAGAAACCUUGUAUCUUUUAGCAAUCACUCCUUCUUAUCUCCCAUUCCCUUCUCCAGUCCUAAUCAACCAAAAACAUCAGAUCACAACUAAAGGAAAGCAAUCACAAUUACUUCCAAUUUCUCAGGACAAACUAUAAAAUCCAGGAAGCCUUGGGAUGAUGUGUUCCAAGUUCUGAAAGAAAAUAUCAAAAUAAUUCUUAAUAAAGAUUGUUGUGUCCAGUAAAACUAUCCUUCAGAAUCAAAGCAAAAAUAAAAACCAUCUAAAAUAAGCAGAAACUGUCAUGACUUUUAAACCGGCACUACAGAAAAAUAGUUAAAGAAAUAUUAUACAUAGAAGAACUCAAAAACAAACCCAAGUUCACAAAUAGUCAAAUCUCAUUUGAAGAGUAGCUUAACAAAUGAUAAAUGGGACCAACUUGAAUAUUAGAACUAAAUCAAAAUAUCAGAAAUUUAAUAAACAAUACUCCAAGGACUGAAGAUCAGCAUACUACAGUAAUGCAGCCACAUCAAUGUUCAUAGCAGGU